Molecule: non-coding RNA, 1609 nt
Organism: Leptonychotes weddellii (Weddell seal)
Lineage: Eukaryota; Metazoa; Chordata; Mammalia; Carnivora; Phocidae
Source: RefSeq, a predicted model, not a curated record
CCCUGGAUAACCUUAUUUUAAAUGUGUUUCCUUCUAGGAGCUAUUCAUCACUAAUGAAAGUUGAGAAUAUGUCUUCAAAUCAGGACGGCAAUGAUUCAGAUGAAUUCAUGUGAAUGGAGGAAAGGACCUUUGAAAGAUGUGAAUUUCGGACAAUUGCAGACGGUUUGAUUUCAUCUGUGUUUGGAGUUAUAAAAAAAAACAACUAAAAUUCUACCUUCAUUCUACACAAAUAUUACCAGCGUUGGAGUCUAAAAAACAAAAAAAGUGUUCCCUUUUUUGCCGACGGAAAAGGAUCAGAUAUUUAUAAUAUAUUUGGACUUGAAAAACAGCAUAUAACUUUAGGAAAGUGAAAAUAUUUUUGCUGAAACAUGUCUUGGUACCUCAUGAUAGUUGGCUGCCCUUGUUCUUGGGAUAGACUUUAGAACAGACCAGCUCUGAGAAGUAUUUGUUACUGUGGUCUGUCCCUGAGAACAGAUGUCUUGAGAAGCUUUUUCAUAUUCUUAAAAUAGCUUCACUUCUGUUAAGAAGAAUGUAUCAGUGAGCAAUGUAUGCGAACGUUGCCCUUGACCCCGAUUUCCUGAGUAGAACAAGAAAGCUUACGGGUUUUGAUGGUGUUAGUGGUAUUUUCAGAAGAUUGCCGGCUUCAGUAUUCCCGUCCCAUGGUGUCGUGUGAGUCUGUUAGCAGUGUUGUCCUCAGCUCUCCCCUUGUCCUGGCUUCCACCUUCCGUGUCCUUUCCCUGAGCAAGGGCCUCCCCCCUAGUUACCAUCGUGCUUAGAGAAGUAGUCCGUGUUAGUCAUGGUCGGGCACGUGGCAGUGUUUACCUGAGUGCCGAGUCCCAAGCCACAUACGUGACGACUUCCAGGCUCUGGAGCUGUUGCUCAGCGCUGAGGGGAGAAAUAGGAAGGCAUGAUCUGAAUCAUUUUGAGGAUGUCAGGUUACCUGAUUUUUGUCUUGGGAUGCACAUGCAGAAAGCAAAUGUCCCGUGCUGGGGUUAUGAUCUUAGAAGGAGGCAUUUCACCAGCCAGCCAAGUAAUUAGUUUAUUUACCUUGAGACAAUAUUUACUUUGAGUUGUAUCCCCAGAGUUCAGAUUUCUCAGUUGUAGGCCCAGUAACUUAAUAUGUAACAGGACUACUCAUCUGAACCACUUACUCUCCAGUGGGAUUCUGAAUAGAAGGUAUAUUUUUGUUGCAAUCCCGGUAGGAAGCAACAAAACAAAACAAGUGAAAGGAGAAGAGAACAAAGCCCGCAGGUCAGGAGGCGCACACAUUCACAUUUUAACCACACCCAGAAUUCUACACACAGCUUUAUUCUUCCUAACUGUAUUCUAACCCGGUGAGAGUUACCCUGUCAGAGCACUUUGGAACUGUGGGUAAAACUAAACGACCUCAGUGUUUCUAUUUAUCCCAAGUCGGUGUGUGGGGCGGAACUGGAAAAUUUCCCUGAGGCAUAACUCGGCCAGAUUUUGAAGAGGAGAUAUGGGAGAUUUUUCCCAUAUGAUGACUCCAGAAAUUAGUGAUUUUUUUUGUGUGUGUGUGUGAGAUAACAUUCAGCCUGGAGUUCUGUGAUUUUAGAAAUGUAAAAAUAAAGAAUCAUUUUUUUAUUUGGAA